AUACGGAGGGUGCAAGCGUUGUUCGGAAUUAUUGGGCGUAAAGCGCGUGUAGGCGGUCUUUUAAGUCUGAUGUGAAAGCCCCGGGCUCAACCUGGGAAGUGCAUUGGAAACUGGGAGACUUGAGUACGGGAGAGGAGAGUGGAAUUCCUAGUGUAGGAGUGAAAUCCGUAGAUAUUAGGAGGAACACCGGUGGCGAGGGCGGCUACCUGGACCGAUACUGACGCUGAGACGCGAAAGCGUGGGUAGC
Molecule: ribosomal RNA, 247 nt
Filed under: uncultured bacterium
Lineage: Bacteria
Description: partial 16S ribosomal RNA
Rfam family: Bacterial small subunit ribosomal RNA
Source: RNAcentral